This is a long non-coding RNA of Mirounga angustirostris (Northern elephant seal), 28755 nucleotides long. RefSeq lists it as uncharacterized. Lineage: Eukaryota; Metazoa; Chordata; Mammalia; Carnivora; Phocidae. The transcript has 5 exons. The record is from RefSeq and is a predicted model, not a curated record.
GGCUGUGGCUCAGUUCUCCAUGUUGUCACAUCAGCUGUCUGUCUUGGGCUUGUUCAUCUAGAAGCCAUGUCCCAAGAGCAGCAAAGAAGGCAAGACCCAAAGCUCAAGCACUUUCUAAGCCUCCAAUUGUUUCACAUUAGUAAGUCACUAACGGAGCCCAUAUAUGAAUUAGAGGAAAAGAUUUCACUUCUUGAUAGGAAGAAUUGUAAAUUAUCAGGGGACAGUAUUUUGCAAUCUGCUAGGACCUUGGAUACUAAGCUAAGAAAUUUGGACUUUUUAAUUGGUAGACAGUGAGGAAGGAAGGGCACAGACUUAAGAGAUCAACCCUAGAUGUAGCCAAAAACUGUAUUUUUGAAAAUCGUCUUUAUUUUUUAGAACAGUUUUAGAUUUGUAGAAAAAUGAAGAUGAUACAGAGUCCCCAUAUGUCCCAUACCCAGUAUCCCUUGUUAAUAACAUCUUAUAUUAAUAUGGUAUAUUUGUUAAAAUUAAUGAACCAAUAUUGAUAUGUUUUUAUUAGCUAAUACAUACUGUAUGUAGAUUUCCUUUUUAUAAUUUUAUCUUAUUUUAUUUCAUCAUAAUAAGUGCAUUCUGUAAUCUCGAUCCCUUAUUUCACCCAUGCCGCCACCUAUCUCCCCUCUGGUAAAGGGGAGGUAGGUUAACAGCUGGUUAACAGAUGGUUAUCUGUUCCCUAUAGUUAAGAGUCUUUUUCUUGGUUUGUUUCUCUCUCUUCUUUCUUUUCCUUUGCUCAUUUGUUUCUUAAAUUCCAUAUAUGAAUGAAAUCAUAUGGUAUUUGUCUUUCUCUGACUGACUCAUUUCACUUAGCAUUAUAUUCUCUAGCUCCAUCCAUGUUGUUGCAAAUGGCAAGAGUUCAUUCUUUCUUACGGCUGAAUUAUAUAUCUACAGUGGGAUAUAUAUCACAUCUUCUUUAUCCAUUCAUCUAUCGACGGACACUUAGGCUGCUUCCGUAGUUUGGCUGUUAUAAAUAAUGCUGCAAUAAACAGAGGGAUGCAUGUAUCCCUUUGAAUUAGUGUCUUUGUAUUUGUUGGGUAAAUACCCAACAGUAUGAUUAUUAGAUGAUAGGGUAGUUCUAUUUUUAAUUUUCUGAAGAAACUCCCAUCGUUUUUGCCAGAGUGGCUGCACCAGUUUGCUUUCCCAUUAAGAGUGCAUCAGGGUUCCUUUUCCUCCACAUCUUCACCAACACUGUUGUCUCUUGUGUUGAUGAUUUUAGCCAUUCUGACGGCUGUGAGGUGAUAUAUCUCCUUGGCGUUUUGAUUUGCAUUUCCCUGAUGGUAAGUGAUGAUGAACAUCUUUUCAUGUAUGUUGACCAUCUGUGUGUCUUCUUUGGAGAAAUAUCUGUUCAUGUCUUCUGCCCAUUUUUUAAUUGGAUUGUUGGUUUUUUGGGUGUUGAGUUGUACCAGUUCUUUAUAUAUUUUGGAUACUAACCCUUUAUUGGAUAUAUCAUAUGCAAAUAUCUUCUCCCAUUCAGUAGGUUCCCUUUUAGUUGUGUUGAUUGUUUCCUUCACUGUGCAGAAAUUUGUGUUUUGAUGUAGUCCCAAUAGUUUACUUUUGCUUUUAUUUCCCUUGCCUGAGGAGACAUAUCUAGAAAAAUGUUGCUUUGGCCGAUGUCUGAGACAUCACUGCCCGUGCUCUUUUCUAUGGUUUCAGGUCUCACAGUUAGGUCUUUCAUCCCCUUUGAGUUUAUUUUUGUGUAUGGUGAAAGAAAGUGGUCCAGUUUCAUUCUUUUGCAUGUGGCUGUCCAGUUUUCCCAAUACUGUUUGUUAAAGACACUGUCUUUUUCCCACUGGAUAUUCAUUCCUCCUUUGUCAAAGAUUAAUUGACCAUAUAAUUGUGGGCUUAUUUCUGGGUUUUCUAUUCUGUUCUAUUGAUCCAUGUGUCUAUUUUUAUGCCCAUACCAGGCUGUUUUGAUUGCUAUAGCUUUGUAAUAGAACUUGAAGACUGGAAUUGUGAUACCUCCCGUUUUGUUUUUCUUUUUCAAGAUUGUUCUGGCUAUUUGGGGUCUUUUGUGUUUCCAUACAAAUUUUAGGAUUGUUUGUUCUAGUUCUGUGAAAAAUGUUGUUGGUAUUUUUUUAAAAGAUUUUAUUUAUUCAUUUGAGGGAGAGAGAUACAGAGAGAGAGAACAUGAGCAGGGGGAGAGGCAGAGGGAGAGGGAGAAGCAGGCUCCCCGCUGAGCCAAGAGCCCAAUGUGGGGCUCAAUCCCAGGACCCUGGGAUCAUGACUCAAGCCACAGGCAGACGCUCAACUAUCUGAGCCACCCAGGCACCCCACUGUUGGUAUUUUAAUAAGGAUUGCAUUAAAUGUGUAGAUUGCUUUGGGCAGUAUAGACAUUUUAACAAUAUUUCUUCUUCCAACCCGUGAGCAUGGGAUGUCUUUCCAUUUCUUUGUGUCAUCUUGAAUUUCUUUGUUCAGUGUUUUAUAGUUUUCAGAGUAUAGGUCUUUCACCUCUUUGAUUAAGUUUAGUCUUAGAUAUUUUAUUAUUUUUUGGUGUAGUUGUAAAUGGGAUUGUUUUCUUAACAAUCAUGAGCAUUUAUUAUAUACUUUGGGUUAUAAUUUAAUACUAAUCUUUAUUUUCUUGCUCAAAUUGUUUCAGCUUUGAUGACUAGGAGCUAUUUCAGUUGGCAUGCCCCUAUCUACAUAGGCUGAUGUUGCCUAGGCUGCACAAGUAUCAGAAGCAGAUUGCAUAAGGCAUGGAAGGCAAAAAGGGAAGUUUGCAUGAGGACAACUGAAGGGUGGUGGGCAAUAAGUUAAGACUUAGCCCUUUUUCUUUUGAGUUGGAGAGAAUAAGAAGAAUUAUUCUGUUAUAGCAGAUUUCAAGGUUGAAGACAUCAUCAGGGAAAACCCAGAUGUUGACUAUGUUAUUAUAACCAAAAAAUACGGGGCGCCUGGGUGGCUCAGUUGGUUAAGCGACUGCCUUCGGCUCAGGUCAUGAUCCUGGAGUCCUGGGAUCGAGUCCCGCAUCGGGCUCCCUGCUGAGCAGGGAGUCUGCUUGUCCCUCUGACCCUCCCCCCUCUCAUGCUCUCUCUAUCUCAGUCUCUCUCUCAAAUAAAUAAAUAAAAUCUUUAAAAAAAAAAAACAAAAAAAACAAAAAACAAAAAAUACUUCUAGAAAAGUUUGAAGGUGCAGAGAGUUUUUACAGUUGAACAGGGAUGCAGUAGAAUGCAAUAGGAGGAGAUAAUAAAGUGUCUGGCAGAGGUAGAGGACUAUGAAAGAGGGAGGGAGAAAGAUGGAGAUACAGCUUCAUGAAUCCAAAGGGUACUUAUCCCAUGUUGCAGUAUCUCAGUAUGAGCCCCAAACAAGGGAUUUGAUAGUUAAAUGAAUGAAUAAAAAUAUCUUUUGACAAAUGGUAAAUUAGCAACUAAUAAUUGUUUGCUCAAAUAAUUAUUUAGGACAAGAAUGAAUGAAGAGCAUAUGCUGCCUGUUUGAGCUAUCAGUACUUAGAUGAGCUGUUGACAAAAAUGGAAGGAUAUUAAAUUAGAACCAUGAUCUCGCAUAAUGCAUCAGAGAGUACUGGGAACGCUGGUACUUUAAAUCUUCGAUAGACAAAUGGGUAGAGAAGAUGUGGUCCAUAUAUACAAUGGAAUAUUACUCAGCCAUCAGAAAGGAUGAAUACCCAACUUUCACUUAUUUGUGGAACAUAAGGAAUAGCAUGGAGGACAUUAGGAGAAGGAAGGGAAAAAUGAAGGGGGGCGGGAAUCGGAGGGGGAGAUGAACCAUGAGAGACUAUGGACUCUGAGAAACAGACUGAGGGUUUUAGAGGGGAGGGGGUGGGGGGAUGUGUUUGCCCGGUGAUGGGUAUACCGCAUGGAGCACUGGGUGUAAUAUGAAAACAAUGAAUUGUGGAUCACCACAUCAAAAACUAAUGAUGUAUUAUAUGGUGACUAACAUAACAUAAUAAAAUAAAAUUAAAAAAAAUAUUCACGUGAAAAGUCAUAAUGCGAAUAACUUCUUACAAUAGGUGAAAAAGUUAUAUAAUAAUAUAUGGGCUAUGUCAUUAUACUUUCUUAGGUUGGGGAGAAGGAAUUAUGAUGGUUCUCUCUUUCUUCCACCAUAGUCUACAUUCCCAAAAUAUUUUGGUACAUGUGUCACUUUGGGUUUUCACGGGGGAAGAAAUGGAAGGUAGGAAGAAUGUUCUGAAAAGCAGAGACAGAAUUACAUUGAAGAAAAAGAAUAACCUUCCUUACUUUUCAUCUGUUAUUUUCCCCUGCUUCUCCCCACCAGCACUGAAGAACUGGAUUUAGAUGACCUAUACCCAAAGAGAUCAAAGAUCUCUAUGUGCCUUCUUUGAGCAGCACAAUGAGAAUAGAAUCAGAAACUGGAUCUAAACUCAACUUUGAAGACAGAAACAUCUGAAAUUUUUGAGAUGAAGACUGGACAAUUUAAAGUGACCCAAAAUAACGUAAUAGUUGUCUCCUGCAGGGAACAAUCUUUAUACAUCUGGGCCAGAAGUUUGCAUCUCUUAUUUAAUGUUAUCUUCUGUCAUUUACUCUUACCUGUCCUUGGGCAGGUUAAUUUGCACUAGAAACUUUCUUUUUUUUUUUUUUAAGAUUUUAUUUAUUUAUUUGACAGAGAGAGAGACAGCGAGAGAGGGAACACAAGCAGGGGGAGUGGGAGAGGGAGAAGCAGGCCUCCCGCCGAGCAGGAAGCCCGAUGCAGGGCUCGAUCCCAGGACCCUGGGAUCAUGACCUGAGCCGAAGGCAGACGCUUAACGACUGAGCCACCCAGGCGCCCCUAGAAACUUUCUUUAUUCGUGGCAUUCUGAAAAACUUAAAUACAAUCUGUGUAUGUAGGUCUUCUCCCUGGUUUUAUUUUUUAUUCAAAAUAGAAGCAAUCUCAAACUUACAGAAUAGUUGGCAGUACGGUAUAAUCAACUUUUUUUUCCUAAGCCAUUUGAGAGUAAGUUGCUAAUGUGAUAUACCAUCACCCAUGAUUACUUUUGUGUAUAUUUCCUACAGUGAUAUUUUAGUGCAGGAUAGUAUUUAGAAAUCAAGAAAUGGGUACUAGGUGUGGUUAUAACUAUUGGAAUGUUGCUGUUUCCAGGUCUCUCAGUGGAUAGAAAUUUAUACAUGUCUUCAGAAAGAGACUUGUACAACAAUAGUUAUGCAGCUUUAUUUAUAAAAGUUCAAAGCUGGAAAUAGUACAAAUAUCUCCCAACAGGAAAGUGCAUGAAAAUUGUGGUGUAUUCAUACAAUAAAAUACUGCAUAGCAAACAUUUUUUUUAAAAAGAGAAAGAAAGAACAAAUGAUACAUGCUGUCACAUGGAUAAAUCUCAAAAUCAUUAUGUUGAAUGAAAGAAUCUAGAUACAAACAAGAAUACUCUGCAUGAAUCCAUUUAUAUGAAGUUCAAGAACAUGCAAAGCUAACCUAUAGCAAUUGACCAGAACAGUGCUGCCUCUAGAGAAUGGAAUUGAGUGGGAACUCAAAGUAAUUUGUUGCCAUUAUGGAAAUAUUCUAUCUCUUCUUUGGGAUGUUGGUUCUACAGUAUGCCCAUUGGACUGUACAUGUAAAAUUUGUGCAUUUCAUUGUAUGUAAAUUUUAACUCAAUUAAAAAAAAUAGUGGUGGGCUGAUUAGGCUUUGUAGAGAGGAUUUUAUGCCUUAUCUUUCUUGGCAACUGUUAUGUAAGUUUGAGCAUGGAAGCCAUGAGUUAAGAAUGGCAAAAUAAAAAGAUAGAGUUUAAGUCCUUCAUGACUUUGUAGGACCACAUAGCAUUAGUAGACUGUGUAGUUCCAGAAUGUGUGUGUGUGUGUGUGUGUGUGUGUUUGUGAGAGAGAUUGAGAGCCUAAUGGGUUUAAGUCAUUAUAGUUGAGCCUCAGUUCGAGCAGCCUAAGCCAUUCCCUAACCACUAUACUUCCCCUGAUCUCUUUUUCCCUCAUCUUGUUUGGUUAGGAGUACAUUAUUUCUCAACCUAAAUGUACUAUCAAUCCUGAGGGAGAAUUAAAUAGUAUUUCAUAUGACAGUAAUUGCCUGUUCCUAAAGCAUGUUCCACAGAAUGUUCUUGUCACAGGAAGAAAUUCCAUAUUCAAAAAAACCAGAUUAACCUUUUAUAUGUGAAUUGUUAUAAAUUAUUGAGAAUUGUAAAUUCCCACCAGGGGAAUGCACUCUACUCAUUUCGCAAAUAUUUCUUGGCCACCCAAGCUUUUUUUCAGUGGUGUAUCUGGCUGUAUUGGAAUAUAAGUUUGGAAACAUCAUCCUUCAAGUGUGCAACUUGGAAACAACACUUCUUGGGAUUUGCCAUCUUCCCCACCCACCCCUCCCUACUUCAACAGGAUGCACUCCUGCUUGAAACAGUCUUUUGCCCAGAUGACACUUUGGAGACAUGUGAAGAAAGGCUAACUAAAGAGGAAUUUUUAAAAUUCAAGAUUACUCUGUGUUGUGAAUAUUUGAAGUCUCCUUCCUGCUUCCAUUUUGCGGUGAAAGUAUCAGCAGGAAACAGAGGGAUAUUAUGACCCUCACACAGGAAAUUAGAUGAAAGAAAGAAUUUCCUAACAGGUGAGCUUUGAAAAUUCUGUUUCUUUUUUAUAUUUAUUUUAAUGUAAUUAUAUUUAUUUAUUUACUUUAGGAAAAAAGCUCAGAUGCCAGUUUGCCUGAAAUUGCUCUUCUUCUUUCUUUUUUCUUUUUCCUUGUAAAAGGAGCUGGGUCUGACGAUACCACAGUUUGUCUAGCCCAACAGAUCCUAAAGUUUAAUGUUCCACUUGAUAUUAAAAGUGUUAAUCUGAACAAGGAUCUCUACUAGUUCCUCUUUACGUUUGGGGGUUGGAUUUUCUCUCACAAAGUUAGAUGAGAAAGUAGGAAAUUAAUGUGUUUAUUUAUUUAUUUUGGGAACCUCCCCCGAAUUUUGCUAAAUUUCUGACUCUAUGUUGAUAAGAGAAACCUGGGUAAUUACCUUUUAUCUCAGCCUUUCUCCAUGGAAACAUCUGAAUCAACAUGUGUAAUGGUUUUAAUGACUGUGAUGUGGAUUACCACCCACUCUCUUCGGUGUCAUAAUCCAUACUGUUUCUAGAAAGAUUGCCGAAGUAAUUAGCUUGGCUAUGUUGCUGUACUAUUCAAUGACAUUUUAUGACUAUGAUUAAAUUGUGUAGGCUUCUAUUUCCCAUAAUCUAAGUGUAAAAUAAAGUAUUUGAUGGAUUAAAUCAUUGGUGAUUAUUAUUUGGAUAUUUGAAAGGAUCACAUUCCAACUCACAUGGGAGAAUACACUUAUUGUCAGAAAUGAGUUAAGUGAUACUCUCAAACAUCAGCAUGAGAAAGAAAUCCAUGUGGGAUGACUGCAAGAACAGAUAGACUUCUAAUUUUGUUAAUGUUGAGAAAGUUAAACUUUCCAUGUCAAGUAGCAGUCAUUCAGUGGUAACAAAUUGUCACAAAUUAUUUUUGUUACACUAGGAUCAAGAAAGCUCACUAGGGUAGAAAUUGGACUAGGGCCUGCCCACUGCACUUUCUGGUCAGCCCCCAGACGCAUGCAUUGUGUACUAUCACUCAUAAGGGUAUGGCAUUUCAUUCAUAUUCAAUUAUGUUAGGUACUUUGAAAAUUAUCUAUUGCAGAACUUUAAAUUUUAACUCAAGCAUUUAACUAAUGGACAAAAUUAACUGGAAAAAAAUAAGUAAAAUAGAUGAUAAAAACAAUAAAGAAAAAGCAUUUUAUUUCAGUAAUUUUUAUAUAGCAGUAAGUGUAGCAUUAUCUUUAUGUACCCUUACCUUUCAGAGUAAAAUAAAAAUAAAUUAAAUGGGACUUUCCUGGAAAUACAGACAAAUCAAUCUGUAGCUGUUUACUAGUUCAAUAUCAAGUGAGACAAUUAACUGAAAUUAGAAUAUUUAGCAUAUUAGAAUAAUUAGCCCAUUAGAAAGAGUCUAUCUGGGCAAGACAAAAGACUAAAAAAGAGGCUGAAUACAAUGAACAAGUGAAUGACUAGGAUAUAUUUUUGUUGACUUUAUCUUGUUCUUUAGUUUUUUGAAAAAGUGGUAAGGAAUAAUCUCAGACCCCUAAGAGUAUGAUAGUAAGGAAUGAUUUAUCCUUACAAUCAUUUAGCAGUACCCCCGCUGAAAUGAUAGUCUUCCAUAAAAAUAGAAUACUUCCAGGAAAAAUAUUUAACAAGAAUAUUUUGAUCACCUAUCAUGAGAAAGACAUUGUUGCAGUUCUUAGGCGUAUAAGAUAAUAAAAGACAGUAUGACUCCAUAAGCAAUCCCCGUUUUCAGUAUAAACUUGGAUUUAUUUGUGGUAAUCCACACUUGAUUUCCACAUUUCAUUUUGGACCCAAGGUAUUUACCUGACACUGCUGGGAUGGGUAUAGUUGGUUGGCUAAUCAACAAUGUGGCUAAAACCUAGAAUUUUUUCUUAAAUUUUUUCUUUUCCUUUUUUUCAGGGAAUCUAUAAAAAUUAAUAUAGUAAAUGUGUAAUUCAAACUUAAAACAUAAAUAUGUAUACUUUUGUCAAGUUUUUGGAAUAGAGUCAUGGCUUUUUUUUUUCCCACAUGGGUCUCGUGAUUGGAGUUCUAUAAUCUCUUUCAUACAUACAUGAUGUAUACACACAAUAGUUAUCUCUUGUGAUUCUCAGUUUUGUUUCCUGAAAAUGGGAUGGAAACUUGAAAAUACUUCUGAAGUGAACUGUGAGAAAGCUCCUCUGUUUUUAAGAUUUGUUCACCUGUCUUUUGGAGUGUCUGUUCAACUUGUAAUUCAAAGACAAUAGUUGUUAGAGUUUCACCUUUACUGAGUCACUAAAGUGAAUGAGGAGUAUAAUUCUAUUACUUAGCAUUUCUAAAAUAUUUAACUUCAUUUUUGUUAAAACAACUUUGCCUUUUUCAUUUAUAUUUAAUUGAUUUUUGUGAUAUUCAUCUGAGUUAUGUAUUUACAGUAAUAAGCUCAACUGGAAUAAACAGGUUUGAGCAAACCUGACUGACUUGGUGGCAACAUAAUUCAACUGAUGGGAAAAGAAGUGUGUGGGCAUAAAGGAGGAGAGUAUUAGCAAUGAUUACAUAGUGUGACAAGGGUCUUAGUAAGUAUGUUUUAAAGAAGAUUACAGAAGAAAUGGAGAGUGCUAGUUUUCUAGCAGGGCAGUUAGUUGGAUAAUGGUUCAAGAUACAACUACAGGUGUUGAGUAGAUUCAUCAUAUAGCUAUGGUAGUGUGGUCUUGAGACUUUGUUAUGUACUGUUGAGGGGGGACUCCACACGUGGUUUUUUGUUUUUGUUUUUGUUUUUUUAGAGAGAGAGUCAGGGGGAAGGGCAGAGAGAGAAUCUUAAGCAGGCUCCAUGCCCAGCGAGGAGCCCGACACUGAACUAGAUCUCACGACCCUGAGAUCAUGACCUGAGCUGAAAUCAAGGGUCGAUGCUUAACCAACUGAGCCACCCAGGUACCUCUCUGGACAUGGUUUUAUCAAGGCUUCUUCAUUCAUCAGUGAUUCUCUUGGCUUUUCCUUCCUCUGUGUCUUGGUUUCAUCCUCGGGCUGACUUCCCUUAUGAUAGAAAAACAGCUGCAGUUCUAGGCUUCCCAUCCACACAUCCCACUAAUCAGAAAAAUUCAAAGUAUCUCUUCAAGUAGCUUCAACAGGGAAGUAAGGAUGCUCUCUUCCCUAAAGCUUCCAGCAAACCUCUCUUUUUUCAUUGAUGUGAAUUGCAUCAUGGGCCCUUCCCUGAAUUAAUUACUGUGACCAGGUGAUGGGGUGUGCUGUUUGGCUUAAACCCAUCAGUGUAUAUGCAUGAAACAUAUGGAAUGAAUGAGAGAGCUAAGAUACUGGAAUGAAAAUUGUGGUUCUAUAAGAGGAGAAAGAAGGAGGAAGUGCCCACUAUAGGCUGCAACCCAAGUCUAUAAAUUCCUUAACAUGUUGAUCAAUUUAAUCAAAUAUCAUCCUUGAACUUAUAGGCAUUAUUUUUUACAGUAGGGGGAAGUCAUCUAAAAUACUUUUAUUACUAUUAUUGAUGUGAAGUAGUAUUUAUAGUGUACUGGAGGUAGAUAUGCACAUUACAUUGAAUAAUGUGAAUUAUUUCAUUUGGUGUCUCAGGGGAGAACAUGGCUUAGUGGCUAAGAAUAUGAGCGUCAGAGACACUGGAUUCAUAUCCAGAAUCUUGCACUGUUGUAAUAGGACUACCUCUGUGACCUUAGACAAGUUUCAUAACAUAAGACCUCAAUAUUUUCAUCUACUAAAUAUAAAGCAUCAUGAAGUUGUGGGGAUUAAAUAAUCCAUACAAAACACUUAGUACAGUAUGUGGCUGCACUUCUAAAUGUUAUUUUUGUCAGGGUUCAAUCAGAGUGGGUAUCCUCAUUACCAUUUGGCUACCUGGAAGUCUUUUGGGGCUCUGGAAUCAAACCUCAUGCCACAUCUUUGAAAGAAGUUUUUAUAACUUGAAAAUCCAUCUUGUUUCUUUUUCUGAGUGAAAUGAUAAAUUCACCAUUCACUUUUCUUUCUCACAAUAUGUAUGUAAGAAUGAAAGGAACUAUAACCACAUAAAAUAACAAUGCUGAGCUAUAGAGCCUGGGCAGAAAAGAGUAGAUACUAUGUGAUUUCAUUUAAAUAAAGUCAAGAGAGGCAAAAUCAAUCUCUGGUGUUAGAAGAUAGGAUACUGGUUAGUCUUGGUGGGUAGGGGUUAAGUGACUGAAAGGGGCUUGAGGGGAGACUUCUGGGCUGGUGGUCAUGUGCUAUAUCUUGAUUUGGAUGUUGGUUAUAACGUAUGUUCACUUAACGAAAUUUAUUUAGCUGUCUGCUUGUGAUUUGCCCAUGUUUCUUUCUUUUUUUUUAUUUGUUAUACUGAUCAGAAAGUUAAAAGUGAACAUGCCUGACUUUCUGUGGAUCAAGAAAUAUAGCUCCUUACCUUUUGUCCAGACUAAAAGUUAUACAAAGAUAAGCCAAUAGGAAGCUAUUUCUUUGGAGGAAAUAUGGCCUUACAAGGACAAUCUCUCCCAUGGUCCCAUGGGAUGAAGGGCCGGCCCCCAAGAUGAGUGAUUCAUAUGUGAGAAGAGACACUUCCUGGGAGAGUGGAGCUUGAAUUAUCAAACUCUUCCCUUUUGAGGUCUAAUGUUAUAAAAAUCUUUUAAAAGGGUGGUGUUGGUCCUAAUGGAAGACCAUUGUCAGAAUGUCCUUAAAAUUCCCCCAAAGGUUGCUAAAGAUUGGGGAAAGAGGAAAAGAGUCUGCUAAUGGAAAUCUGGAGGUUCGUGAAUGAAGAGCUGGGUACAUCACACAUGUGUUCUGGAACAUGUGAGCCAUGCUGACUUAAGCCAAUCUGUGCAUCCCAUCCUUCUAAACACAGUGAUUGUUUCAGACACGGGUGCAUAACCAGAUCAGAACAAUGAUGUCUAAGGUGGCACUUGCUGAGCUAUCUCGUUAAAAGAAAGGUAAAGAAAACACAUUCAAUUGUGGAAAAUGGCAGAGAAGACAUCUUUUUUGUCCUAAAUGUUCAGGUAUAAUAUGUAAAGUUGGUUUUAUUGUAUCUGUAUUACUGUCACCAGCAGGGAAACCAUGAGGCUUCCCUGGAAGGCCAUUAUAUAGAUCCCGAGGAUAAAGCCUAUGUUAUGGAAGGCAGAGUGGAGAGAUGGAGAGAAAACGGAGUCUUUGAUCACAUAGACUCCUUUAUUGCUAAAGCCAAUUUGAGUAGGUUUUUCUCUCAUAUAUACUGAUCAUUUAGUGGAUUCAACAAUUUAAUUAUUUUAAGAAUGCAUGUAAUAUAGUUUUAUCUGAUUUAAUGUGUAUAUAAAUAUUGACAUGGGAAGUAGCCACAUAAAAUGAUUGGUCUAAGAUCCUUAACCCUUGUGAGUCAUUCUGCUCUCAUCUCUCCUAAUUUCUACCUCUAUGUCUGACUUAAGUUUGAAGGAUUUCCAAAGAUUACUGUGUCUUUACAUGUAAUUUUUUAUAUGAGAUGUACUAUACUUCCUUCAAAUAGGGACCAAGGUAAAAAUUGUCAAUAAAAUAUUGUUGAAUAAUGACUAUUUUAAAAAGUAGACCUUAAUUUCUUUUUUAAUUACAGGAGGAGAUGACUUUUUUAAAAUUUAAUUUAAUUUUAUUUAAAUUCAGUUAAUUAACAUAUAGUGUAUUAUUAGUUUCAGAGGUAGGGUUCAGUGAUUCAUCAGUUGCAUAUAACACCUAGUGCUCUUUACAUCAUGAGCAUUAAGCUCAUCAUCCAGUCAUCCCAUCCCCACUCCAACCUCCCCACCAGCAACCCUCAGUUUCUUUCCUAGAGUCUUGUAUGGUUUGUAUCGUGCUCUGAUUUCAUCGUAUUUUAUUUUUCCCUCCCUUCCCUAUGAUCCUCUGUUUUGUUUCUUAAAUUCUACGUAUGAGUGAGAUCAUAUGAUAACUGUCUUUCUCUGACUGACUUAUUUCGCUCAGCAUAAUACCCUCUAGUUCCAUCCACAUCAUGGCAAAUGGUAAGAUUUCAUUUUUUGAUGGCUGAAUAAUAUUCCAUGGUAUGUAUAUAUAUAUUUUAUUUUAGCCAUUCUGACUGGUGUGAGGUGGUACCUCAUUGUGGUUUUGAUUUGUAUUUCUCUGAUGCGGAGUGAUGUGGAGCAUUUUUUCAUGUGUCUGUUGGCCAUUUGUAUGUCUUCUUUGGAGAAAUGUCUGUUCAUGUCUUCUGCCCAUUUCUUGACUGAAUUAUUUGUUUUUUGGGUGUUGAAUUUGAUGAGUUCUUUAUAGAUCUUGGAUACUAGCCCUUUAUUUGGUAAGACAUUUGCAAAUAUCUUCUCCCAUUCUGUCGGUUGUCUUUUGGUGUUGUCAACUAUUUUCUUUGUUGUGCAAAAGCUUUUUAUCUUGAUGAAGUCCCAAUAAUUCAUUUUUGCUUUUGUGUCCCUUGCCCUUGGAGACGAGUCUAACAAGAAGUUGCUGUGAUGGAAGUUGAAGAGGUUGCUGCCUGUGUUCUCCUCUAGGAUUUUGAUGACUUCUUACAGCCACUUGUUAAGUAAUCUGUAACUUGAAAAUCUGUAAUUCCUAGAUUCUAACUAUAUCAGCAGACACCAUAAGAGAUGAUUUCUGCUGAGCACCAUGGAAGUCAUUAACAGUUUGGCUUGUCUCCAUUUUUAGGUCAACACUCUCAUACCCUCCCUCAUUCUAUUUCCAGUAUGUUCAUGUUUUCCCAGAAUAGCUAUGAAAAUCAUGUAAUUAGCCUCCAAAUCAGCAAUGCUGACACAGCCAUUGGCAUGAAGUACAGAAAAAUUGAUCAACUUAUUUUAAAGAAAACAUUCCAAAGGAGUCAGGUCUGCUUUCAAAUGCCAGGGAGAGUCCGAUCUAUUAAUACUACAUAUCUGUCAUUACAACAUGAAAUGGCUACUGAAAACUGUUCCCACAUUGCCUCCAAGAAUUCCUACUCCCAGAGCAGAAAACAGCCCAUUGGUCAGAUUUCUGCACAUGUACCAUGGAGUGCCCAUCACAAAGCCAAACAAGCUAGAUCCAGAUGGAAGUCUAUAAAAUAACAUAUUUAAAGGGGAAAAGUAAUCAGUGGUGAGGUAGGUGGUAUAUGGGAGCAAGAAUGGGGUCCCACCCAAGAGAUUUUUUAAAAGGCAAAUGGUAUUUUCCUUUGUGGUUUAUUCUAUAAAAUCAAUACAUAGUGGAUGUGUCAGGCAUGUAAAAUACUACAUGGCAAGUCAGAAAGACUCAGAAAUAAGUGUCAGACAUAAUGGCGACCUGACUGGGUGUGGUAUAUAUUUGUGAGUACAUGCGCAUAUAAAGCAAGGCAAUCCAAUUUUCUCAUCUGAAAAGUACCAAUAAUAAUUGCACCUAUUUCACAGUGGCCUUGUGAAGAUUAAAGGGAGGGAAGCAUGUCAGGCGUUUAGUGCAGAGCCUUCCGCAUCGGAAGAGCUCAGAGUGGUUGGAGAGGGCCAGGCGCAAGAGCACUCAGGCAAUGCCAUCCAUUUGCCUCCUUUUUCUGCCCGGUCUGUGGUCUGCCCAGGAGCUGCUCUAAGUGCUUUGCGUGUUUUAACUCCUUUCAUUCACACAACGGGUACUUUUAAGUACCUUUAAGACAGGCGCUAUUUUAUCUCCGUUUUGCAGUUUAAGAAACCGGCACCGAGGAGUUACUUAAGCCUAACAUUGCUGAGAUUACAAAGUUGGCAAGAAGAUGAUUGCUGGAGACAGGACGGACCCCCAUCAGUCUGUACGGUGGGCAUCGAUGGAGCGUGAGUGUACCCGGAGCCCACGUCAAGGUUCUGAUGGUUCCUAGGGAUUCCUACUUUUUGCCCAGAGGCUUUCUUUUCCAAAAUUAGUCAUCUCAUGGUUCUUGGUUUGUGAAACUGCUAAAAUUUGCAUAAUUAUAGGUUUACAGGAGACCUCUACAUUCUUUAACUUUUCUGCCUGUUUCCAGCCAUCUGAUGAUUUGUUGUUUCUCUUAAGAGCUGUUUAGAUUUCCUUGGUUCUUUGUAUGCCUAGUAAUUUUGGAUUUUAUUUUGAACAUUUUGAAUGAUACAAGUCUCUGGGUCCUGUAAAUAUCCUUUAGAAAUGUUGAUUUUAUUGUUGUCUUAGUAGACAGCCUGGUUAGGUUCAAACUACAAAUCCUGUCUUCUGUGGGCAGUGGUUCAAUUUUGAGUUUGUACAGCUAUUUGGAUCCCAUCCCAUGUGUGUCCCACUGUGCCAGUCUGGGAACUGGGUGGGGCUUUCUACUGCGGUUUGGUUGUAAAGCGUUUGCUAUGCUCUUUUGGGUCUCUGUUGCACAUGCGCAUAUCACGGGUGAGCCUAAGACUGUGUGGGUUCACACAGGGAUACGCAGAUUGAGAGUUUCUCCUUCUGUUUCCUCCUCUGUGAUUUCCCAUCUUCCAAGGGUACCUUAUCCCUGUCCCCUCGCUAGAAAGCUGUGGUUACUUUUAGAGUUUUAGCCUCUCCACAACUGUUGUGCACUUCCCAUAACUGGGACACAGGAGCAAGAGAAAAAAGAACAAAGAAAAAAAUGUGAGAGAAAUACCUUGGGUUUCUCUUACACUUUGGGGUGUGGGGAGCAGGCCCUCCCCCAUCUUCUGCCUGGAGAUGCGUUUGUCUCUGGGUUUUAGGAGCCUGUAAGACCUCAACUUUCACCGGGGUUUGCUGUGGGGAAGGCUGGGAUAGAGAAAAAGAAAAAAAUAAAGCAAAGAUUUCUCCCACAUUCUCAGGCAGGCUAAUACCUCUUCCUGUGAUGAGAAAGAAAAUCUUUUUCUUGGAGAUUUUCAUGUCCAGGAGUGCUGCACAGUAGAAUUUGGGCUGCUCUCAAGUCUAAGCUGGGAAACUGUUGCAUAGGUUGUUCUUUAAGUUUUGGUUUCCUUCCCUAAUAUGUCUGCUCUUAUUUAUUUUCAGUCUGGGAUAUUGCUUCUUCGUAUUCUCUUGCAAGACUUUUAGUUAUAAUCACCAGGAGAAUUAGGGUAUGGUGGGCUUACAGCAAUUUACAUGGAACCACGAACUCUUCAGUUAUCUUUUACAUUGAGAUACCCCCUUACUGUGUGAUCAUAUAUUCAAUAGGUACUGUGAUAUAAAGAACCUUAAUCCCCUGGAGUUACCUAUUCAUUGAUUUCUUUAUUCACUAAAUUGUUGAAUGCCUACUGUGUUCUAUACCCUGUGUUGGAAUACGUAUAUAAAUAAGACCCAAUUUCUAUCCAAGUUUCUCAGAGUAUGCACAGAGACAGAUAAACCAGUAACUGCAAUAUAGAAUAAGUGCUAUAGUGGAUCUUUAACUUUUUUUUUUUUUUGGAUGAACCCCAAGCAGGGAACUAUCUCUAUUAAAGGCUAAGCUCUGAUUUCUCCCUCAUUUUUCAUUUCCUUUGAUAGCUCCCCAUUUCCCUCUCUGCCUUUUUUUUUUUUUUAAAGUACCGUCUGGAGGAGUUGGUUCCAAGGUAGAACUAAAUGUUUUUAUUUCACAAAGAAAGGCAUAUAUUUUAAGCAAAAUUAAAAGUAAAUUCUCACUUUACUGGGUUACUUGAGAGGGCUUUAGAACCUAGAUACUUCUUUUCCAGUCUCCUCUGCCAUCAUUACCCUUUGGUCUCAAGAUCUUAUCUCUUGUCUAAGGCUCAAUCUCUGAGUUACACACUUUAAAAAUACAUUCUUUCAACCAUUGAGCCAAUGCUAAGCUAUAGCUGUGAGUUCUAUUUUAGCUUGUAAAACUUAGUUGCUUAAAAUAACAAACAUGUAUUAUCGCACAAUUUCUCUGAGUCAGAUGCUCAAUGCCUCUGGUUCUGAGUCUCUGUUGAGGUUGCACUUAAGCUGUCAGAUGGGGCCACAGUCUCAUGUCAGGCUUGAGUGGGAAGGAUACACUUCCAAGUUCCCUCAUGUGGUUGUCAGCAGGAUUCAGUUCCUCUUGGGAUGCUGGACUGAGGGCUUCUGUUCUUUGCUGGCUAUUGGUCAGUUCUUUGCUAUGUACCUCUAGUUCCAAGCUAUCACCAGAGGGCUGCUCUUAACACGUCAGCUGACUUGCCUCAGAGCGAGUGUAUAAGAGAAUGCGAGAGAGCAUCCAAGAUGGAAGCCAUGGUCUUUCUGUAACCUAAUCUCAGAUAUUAGGCCAUCACUUUUGCCAUAUUCUCUUUGUUAGAAGUAAGUCACUAUUCCAGCCCAUGCCCAAGGGGAUGGGAUUAUAAACCUUAACUGCCUGGAUCAGUGUAUUUCUUAUUUGCUGUAAAUAGGACUUCUCUGUCCUAAGUCAUGGGAUGUGAUAGCCUUUGCAUGCUGACUCAAAGCAUCUAAAAUUGUAUAGAUAUUUAUCUCUACCCUUUUUAUUUUGUUUAUUCAUCUUAGCUUUGAACUACUUCUUUUCCAAUAGGUUGGAUUCAAUCGAACUAGAUCCCCCUUUUAAAAUGUCCUAUAGGAAGUCAUAAUGUGCAUUUAUAUAUUAAUAAGGAUAACCAUCUUCCUAAAGAAGUCUCUACUGUCUUUCAAAAAAGUAUGCAAAGUAUUUAAGACUUCAUAGUUGUAUUUGAGUCAUGUGCCUUAUCUGCCUCUUAUUUAUUUGUUGCUUCUUAUUUCCCAGUUACUCUUGGGAGUUGGAGGACAUUUUGUGAUAAAGGAAAAUCUUUAUCACUCAGGGUCACUUUGGGUAUAAUUUUUCUGGCCAUGUAAUUCUGGGAAAACUCUAUAAAUUCAAAAUUGUAUCAUUAUUUAUGUAUUAAUGUAUAACUAAAGAUGUGCUGAUCAAAAUCACAGCAAGGGUAUUGCUGCCAUGGAAAAUAUACAUAUUCCAUUUCUAUUAUGUGACCUGCACUAACAGGACUAUCUCUAAUAGAAGAGAAUUAACAACCUUAACGUUUUAGUUCAGCAUUGUAUGAGUAUAAUGGGAUGCCACUUAUAACCUUCUGCUUAUUGAAUUUGUGUCCACUUCAGGUUUUAAUAAGUUAUGUUAUAUUCUACAAAAUGUUUUAUUUUUGGUUUUCAUAUGAUUUGAUUUUCCCCAAUUCUUGAAAGUUUUCAGUUUAACAAGACAAAAUUUGGGGCAUCCUCUUUCAUCCAUUCAGGCAAAAAUGUACUUGUUGCUAAAGGUAACUGAGCAGUAUUGACUGUAUUAUUAUCUCAGUGCUUGAGGAACAUGAGGCGUAUAUGUUGAGAGCCAUGGGAAAUAAGGCAUGAACAUUUUGUACUGAGGGCUCUGAGUCCAGAGAUUGAUUAUAAAGACAAAAAACAAACAAACAAACAAACAAACAAAACAACCUGAAAUGUAAUCACUGCACAUAGAUAAUGCAGGAGUGCAAAAUCAAUUUCUCUUAAAUCCUAGAAUAAAGAUACACUUCAUUAUCCUUUGUCGAAUAUUUUAUUCAUUGAACAAAAUGUAUUGAGUAUCCAUGUGUGCCAGUUCUCAGCUGAGAAUUGUCACUUCCUUCAGAGCUCAUGGUAUGAUAGAGAAAACAGGAGUAAAUGGCUCCGAACAGUGCCAUCUUUCUUUUCUUCAAGUGAGCUUCUUAAGAAGAUUGUUUUUCAAAAAGAUUUUGUUUAUUUAUUUGGCAGAGAGAGAGAAAGCACGCACAAGCAGGUGGAGCAGCAGGAAGAGGGAGAAGAAGAAGCAGGCUCCCAGCUGAGCAGGGAGCCCGAUUUGAUUCGGGGCUUGAUCCCAGGACCCUGGGAACUUGACCUGAGCUGAAUGCAGAUGCUUAACUGACUGAGCCACCUAGGCGCCCCAGAAGAAGAUUUUUUUUAAAGAUUUCUUUACUUCUUUUAGAGAGAGAGCACACACACAAGCAGAGGGAGGGACAGAGGGAGAGCGAGAAGACAAAGAGAACCUUAAGUAGACUCCCUGCUAAGCACAGAGCCCUUCCCAGGGCUUGAUCUCAUAACCCUGACAUCAUGCCCUGGGCCAAAAUCAAAAGUCGGACACUUAACUGACUGAGUCUCCCAGGUGCCGCUAAGGAGAAGAUUUUAUUAUGAAAUUUAAUGCACAUAUAUACACUUUUUAAAAAAGAUUUUAUUUCUUUAUUUGAGAGAGAGGGAGAGCAAGAGAGAGCACAAGCAGGGUGAAGAGCAGAGGGAGAAGCAAACUCCCCGCUAAGCAGGGAGCCCAAUGUGGGACUCCAUCCUGGGACUCCGGGAUCAUGACCUGAACCAAAGGCAGACACCUAACCGACUGAGCCACCCAGGUGCCCCACAUAUAUAAACUUUUGGCCAAAAAAACAUUCACCACCUUUUAGUUGAUGAAGAAAAUAUUUAGUGUAAAUGGUUUAACUAGGUAACAAAUUCUUUAAAAUUCUCUCACCAAAGAAGGACAUUAAACAGUCUUUUUAAUCCCUCCAAACAACCUUAUCUGAAAAUCCAAGUGCUCUAAACCUGUUACUCCCAGAUCAAAGACUUAUAGUAGUUUCUCUUUGUUCACAGAAUAUACCUCAAACUUUUAAACCAAAAAUCUGAAGACUUGUGGUCCCAGAAGACUUUUCUAACCCCACCUUUCAUUACUUUAUUACUUCUCAGCUCCACCUUUCAUAAUGAAUAAUUGUUACAACACUGUAUUUCAACAAAACCAUUCUUUUUUCUUGCGCUAUUUGUCUGCAUGCCUUUCCACGUGCUGUUACCUUCACUUGGCUGUUUAACUGGUUCUUAACCAGGGGCAAUCUUGUCUUUUCCCGCCUCCCUUCACCAGGGACAUUUGGUAAUGUCUGGAGACUUUUGGCUGUCACAGCUGGAGGGUACCUCUGGCAUCUAGUGGGUAGAGGUUAGGGAUGCUGGUACAGUGCACACAGGACAGCCCCCCCAUAACAAAUAAUUAUUUCUCCCAAACCAUUUCUAGUGCCAACGUUGAGAAACCCUACCUAAAUAGUACUUUCUUUCUCUCUGUUCAAAUUCCAAACUCUUUAUGGCCUCUUUUAAUGAUUUUCUCCUUUAUGUAAGCUGGUGUUGGCCUUUCCAUCCAAAUAAUCACUCUUUUGACUUUGAACUUUCCUAAGCAAAGUGCUUUUGGUACUUAGUAUUUUAAAUAAUUUUAGAGCAAUUUUAGGUUCAUUAGCAAAAUUAAGAAGAAGGUACCAAAAUUUCUCAUAUUCUCCUUCAUACACAAAUAAUUUCUCCCAUUAUCAGUAUCCCCCAACAGAGUGAUAUGUUGUUAUAAAUAAUGAACCUCCAUUGACACAUCAUAACCAUCUGAAGUCCAUAGUUUACAUUAGGAUUCACUCUUGGUGUUGUACAUUCUAUAGGUUUGGACAAUUGUGUAAUGAUAAGUAUCUAUCAUCAUAGUAGUAUACAGACGAUUUUCACUAAAUACUAAAAAUAUCUUCUUUCGCCCCCAAGCCCCCAACCACUGAUCUUUUUACUGUCUCCACAGUUUUGCCCACGUCUAGAAUGUCAUAUGGUUAGAGUCAUAAAACUAGCCCGAGCUCUAAGAGUCAGCAGUAAUGGACUGAAACCUGAGCGUAGGUGGAAGAGGACGUGACUGGAGUAGAGAAGAAGGUAGAUCCGUUUCCAUAAGGUCACAGGCAAACUAAUGAGCAUCACGAGCAGGCACCUGAGGUCCAGAACAGGCCGGAACAAUGAGGAAGAGCUUGUCACUGUAUCUCUUCACUCCUGAAGAACUGAAUACAGGUGUACCUAGUACACACAUACUGACUGAUUGGCAUGAGCUACUGAAUUCCACUUUUUUUUGCCUAGGCCAAUUUGAGUUAAGUUUUUGUAAUUUGUAGCCAGAAAGAGUCCUGACUAGUCUGGCCACAUAAUUUGGGGAAAAUAAUUUUUUUUUUUCUGUUAAAUACAAGGAGAGAUUCCCAGGGAACCUGAAGAACUGAAGAAGUGGUAGACUUCAUUUUCUGGAUUUUGGAGGGCAAAGGCUCAGGUGGUGUUUAGACGGACUAAUUAUAAAUGAGAAAAUAAAUUAGGAUUUUGACAUCAGAGUCAUGGAGGCUGUUAGUGUUUACACAUAAUCUAAAGCUCAAAGUGUAUAGGCUGAAUUGGAACUAAGGGUCAAAACUUUUUGUUUACCCUCAUGGAAGUCUGCCUCCAGGGAGAAAACGUGCUGAUCCUAUUGACUUUAAGUGUUCUGGUUUUGUGGUAAUUAUUUUUUAUUGUAUAAUACUACAUUGGCAUUUGGUUUUGAAUACUUCGGUCUUCUGAGUGGAUUAAUAGGAGUCCUCCCUUGGGACAUGGCAGAGUACCAGCGACUGAGCUAUUAUUAUUUCACUCUAAAUUUAGCCUUCUCUCUGCGGCUCUGUGGUGAUGUAGCUUAGACUUUGCAAACUACAGUUCCCAGAAUUCUUUGCCUGUUAGGCUCCUCAAGUAGCAGGUCCUACAAAGGAUUUGGGAGUCAGGAAGAGGAGAGAAGGGAUUUUCAUCCUGCUUGCUUGUUAUUUCUAUUAGUAAGGCCCCUACAUUAGCAUUUUGUUCCAGUCCCCAGCUUCUUGUAGUACUUUGCUUGUGUGUCUCCUCAGAGAUACCUGGAGCAACCAGGUCUCCCUCCUUUGAGCUUCUAGGCUCUCAUAAUCUAAACUCUUUGUAUUCCCCUGGCCUAAGAUCUGGUAGCUGCACUUAGGAUCUCUGCAUUACCUCAGUGUUUCUAUUUUGGUCUUUUGGCCCACAAACACCUAUGUAACCAAUUCCUUAUAUUUAAUUCCCUUCCCAGCUAGACCCUAAUAUGUAAUAAUAGGAAUGGUCCUGUUAUGGAACCUGGACUGGAUCACCUGACAGAAGAACCAAGUGGCACUCGGAGAUCUUGGAGGAUAGGAGGUUUAUUUAACGCCGGUGGGUUCAGAGGAGAGUGGUCUCCAAAGGUCUGAGCCCUGAGCACAAACAAAGGGGGCAAUUUAUACACUUCUACUUCCGCAUACUUGGCACUUUUGGCACGUGCGCGAAGCGGGGCAGGGAGAAGAACCUGGAUUGGUGCCCACGGGAAGCAGAGCGGGGAGAAGAACCCAGAAGAGCCCCGGGGCAAGGACUGGGACUCUUCCGUUGGCUCUGUCAGCCAUCUUAAGACACCGAUUUUCCUUAUCAGUCGCCCCUGAUGCCCCUUUAAACACCUACUUUAGAGGGCAUCAUUUUCAUCUUCUAAGUGGCGAUAGUGUGUAAGGAGCAACUGGAGUCUGAUUUUAGCAAUUUGAGUAGUGAUAAACCUAGUAAGGGCAUUAAGAAUACAAGGACCAAAUGCUACUAUGAGGAGAAGCAAUAGAAGGGGGCCGAUUAGGGGGGUGAACCAAGGGAACCAUUGUGAGAGGGUAUUCCCUCUUGUUGUCUGCUGGAGUGAUUCCCACCGGCGAUGUACUCAUUCCUGUAAUUGGAUCAGAGUUUCUUGGACCACCCCGACUCAGUAGCAUAGAAACAACAUUCCUCCUGUAAGAAGAGGCAGAGCCCCCCCCCCCCUUGCGCAGCCGUGAGCAAGUCGAGCCCAUGCCUGCUUUGGAGGACCACCAAGGCCAGUGAAUCUAGUUGGCACUGCAGGGCCAGGGCCGACUGAGUGAGGGCAGAAAAAUCCGCCAUGAGUUGUUGAGUUAACCCCUGGUACUGAACCUGAGACAUCCCGACACCAGUGGCGCUGAGUGCAACACCUAAUGCAGUCAGCAGGCUCACAAUAAGAGGGAUGGCCACGGGAGAGCGCUGAGGGCGGCUAGGAGGUCUCCAUAUGAGUGGGGCAUCGCUCUGGGGGAGGACUGAAAGAUCAGGUAAGAGACUGACAAGUGUGCAUGAUUGGUCGCAUGGGGUAAUGCAGAUGUAUACACCUUGAUCACAAGCCAGAAAAGUGUUCUUAGGUGCACAGACCCAACUGUGGCCUGUGAUGGGAGAGGAAGAGUUGCCAUAUAGCAGUACCGGAGCCAGAAAGGAAUAAUCUGAGGUCCCUGGUGCCGAGGUGGGAGGUGACAUGGUAGAUUGGUUGAGGAUGACACCUAGGUAUUGGACGGGACUGGGCUUUAUACAGAUCCAGCUGUCAGACGCUAGGGGUGGAUUUGAGUGGUUAAGCACUUGGUGGGAGGCGUUAAUCAUACCUAACAGUUGUGCUAUAGAUGCUUGCUGCAUGUGGAUGGGGGACCCAGGGAUGCGCCAGGGCAAGUUAUUUCCUGUCUGACUCUGGGGGUUGACUGUAAGGCUUGGAGUGAACAUGGACUUAAUCAUAAAUUUGGCCAUGGGGUCGGUUCCCAUAGGGUGAUAUUGGCCCAACAGGAGAAUGAUUCCUGUAGCCCAUGAUGUGACAUUGGGUUCUAAGACUGAGAGGGUGAGUGGUAUACAGUGAUUGUUAGAGCAAGAGGAUGGGGUGGUAUUGCAUGACAAGGAAAUCCGGAUGUCACUGCACUGUUUGAGGUGCCACGUCCUGGUGGACCAUCAUUCCAUUCCCAGCCAAGUCGCCACCCAUGACUCACAUCCCCAUGUGAAGAAGAAGAGAGUUCCCCUCUGCAAGCAGAAUUGAGGGCAGGUGUUUGGCUGUUGAGGCAUAGGGCCCCCACAGAUGUAGAUAUCUACCAGCCAGUAACCAGAGUGAGGGCCAUGGUAGCAACACCAUCUGUGAGGUUCCCAGGAGGUAUCAAGAAGUUGGCAUCCAUCAAAAUGGAGGUUAACCUUUGGUGUGUGUCCAUCCCAAGUGGAAGAAGUCAGCGUGGGCGCUCGUGCAGGAUUGAGGGGGAUAAGCUGGAAUGUCCAUUUGCCAGUGAUGGUGAUACGAGAGUCUGCCCUCCUUGCCUGGCCGGGCAAGCCAGAGGCAGUGAGGAGGAACAGCACACCAGGUAGCAGAAGACCGGGACUGACUGGGGCCAGGAAAACCAUAGUGAAAUGCACUCAGGAGUAGACAGCAGAGGGCCAGUAAAAGUGGCAUCUAUGACCUUAGGUAGAGGGAGCCAUUUUGGCUAACCCAUCAGCAAAUGAAACCCGUGGACAAGUGAGUGCAGUAAUACACCCUAGGGACACCCAAUUAGCAAUGACAAUAGUAAGCCUCUGGGGGAAAGUCCAGUCAGGAGGGGCAACAGUGUAGAGUCUGACUCCCAAGAUGAGGGAAAUCACACGGAUGAGAGCCAGGGACCACAGUGAGCAGGUGUCCAUCAAUCAGUGGGGUCUCAUCGAAGGUGAAGCUGGAGUGGGUUCGUGAGGUCUGGCUGGACUCUCCACUGGCGCGGACCCAUGGGUGACACCUGAGACCUUGAGGGCAGUAGGGGCAGUUAGAACAACAGUGUGGGGCCCUGUCCACUGCAGUCUGAGGGAGUCUUUCUUCCAAUCUUUGACCCAAACAGAGUCCCCUGUCUGGGAGGAGUGUACCUGAGACCCUAGGGAGAUUGGGGCCCUCUCAAUGGUGUACUUUUGUAAUUUAUUUAGGGUGGUCCCCAGGGCCUGAAGCUGCUCCUUUAUCACCUUAUCUCCAACCUGAUGCAAAUUUCCUGGAAGGCUUCCCAAGCACGGGGGAGGCCGUCCAUAUAUUAAUUCAAAUGGGGAGAAACCUGAUGUCCCAGGUGUGCAGCGAGCACGCAGGAGAGAUAGGGGUAGCAGACCCAGCCAUGGGAGGUUAGUCUCCUGACAAAACUUUGCUACAGUUACCUUUAGGGUGUGACUCAUUCACUCUAUUUUUCCCUAAACUUUGGGGCUGGAAAGUGGUGUGGAGUCUCCAGGUGGUGUUGAGAGAUUUGGUCAAGACUGUACAAUGUCUGCUACAAAUGCGGGUCCAUUGUCACUAUGGAUUGUUAAUGACAGGCUGAACCAGGGCACGAUCUCCUGCAAGAGGACUUUAGCUACUUCCCGGCUUUGCUCCAUCCUAGUCGGGAAGGCUUCGACCCACCCAGAGUAUGUGCACACUAUUACUAGAAGAUAUCUGAACCCCUGCUCAGCUGCACAUCUGUGAAGUCUACCUCUAGAUCUUCAAAGGGGGCUGCUCCCAUCCUCUGGACACCUGGUGGGGGCCGUGGUGCAGACUAUUAUUUUUAGCACAUGUUAUGCACCAUUCACUCAUUGCUCGGCAUAGUGCCAGCCUCUGACUGAUGUCGUAGUGCUUCUUGAGAAGGGCCUCUAAUGCAGUUUGUCCCAGAUGAGUGAGUCGGUGGUGUCCCUUGACUAGAUGCCCUCCAGUUGCUGUUGGAACAAAGAUGCGCCCAUCUGGCAUCAUCCACCAUCCCUUUUCAGUCAGGGUGGCCCCCUCAGCCAUGGCCCAUUCUUUUCCUUUUUAGUGUAACUAGGUGGAGAGACUUCUUCCAGGGGUGUCAGGGCCAUGGUGAGGGAAGGGGCUCUGUCCAUGUCCUCACUGGCUGUGGUCUUGGCUGCCUCAUCUGCCAGAUGAUUUCCCCGAGCUAUGGGAUUGUCUCCUUUUUUCCUUUUCAUGCACAAAGAGAUUGCAGGGUUUUUCUACAUCUAGUAGGCCCAGGGCAGGAGCCUGCCCCGGGGCGAUCUUUAUCUCUGUGAAAGCAGUUUCUGCUUCCUCAGUCCAGGCAAGGGGUUCUCAAUCUGGUCCCCCUAAGAGAUCAUAAAGGGGUCUUGCUAUUGCUGAAAACCCAGGGAUCCAGAUGUGGCAGAAUCCUGCAGCCCCCAGGAAUUCUCAUAGGCCCCUUUUUAUCUGGGGCUGUGGCAGGGAGAUGAUGACCCUUUUCCUCUCCGGCCCUAGUUCUCUUUUCCCUUGGGUGAGGAGGAACCUAAGGUAUCAGACCUGUUGUUGGCAGAUUUGUGCCUUCUUCCAUGAGGCUCAGUAGCCUGAGUCUGACAGGAGCUGUAGGAGGACCUUUGUGCCUUUUGUGCAGUCUUCUUGUGUGUCACUGGUGAGGAGGAGGUCAUCCACAUACUGGAGGAGGGUGCAUCGUGUGGCCUUUCUUGGGAAGCUGGCAAGGUCUGCGGCCAGGGCUUCACCAGAGAGGGUUGGUGAGUUUUUAAACCCCUGCAGGAGGUGCGUCCAAGUCAGUUGCAUCUGGCAUCCUGUAUCAGGUUCAGACCAUUCAAAGGCAAACAGCGGCUGGCUCUGGGGAGCUAAGCGGAGGCAGAAGGAGGCAUCCUUCAAAUCUAGGCAAGUGAACCAUCUGGCUGACCCUGGGAUUUGGCUGAGGAGGGUGUAUGGAUUCGGAGCCACUGGGUACAGAGAGAUGGUCACCUUGUUGAUGGCCUGAAGGUCUUGAACUGGUCGGUAACCCCCUCCUGGCUUCUUGACUGGCAGGAGUGGGGUAUUCCAAGCUGACUGGCACUUGACUAGAAUACUUGCUUCUUUGAGUUUGGCCAGAUGUUCUUGGAUGCCGAUCUUAGCUUCCUGUGGAAGGGGGUAUUGCUUUUGGCUCUGAGGUUGGGCUCCUGGGAUCACUUCAACAAUGAUAGGGGCCCGAUUCCGGGCUAGUCCAGGUGGGUUGUUUUCAGCCCAUACUGAAGGGAAGGCGAGUCUGAACUCUGGUGGGCUGCUCGGUUGGGCCUAGGCAGAGAAUAGCCUCCAUUCUUCUUCCCUUGGUGUGGUAAUUGCUGGUAUUAGAGAUCCCAUCUCCUAUUGCCUUGGGUUCAAUCGGAGGCUAGUGUGUCCAGUGGGCUCAAAAGUUAUCUGAGCCCUAAGCUUGGAGAGUAUGUCUUGGCCCAGGAGGGGGAUGGGGCAAUCAGGCAGAUAAAGGAAUUCAUGUCGGACCUUGUGGCCCCAGAGUUCACACUGGUGAGCCUGGCAAAAGGGCUGUUGUACUGCCUGCGUCCUGGUGGCCCCAAGGAUAGUCACAGUCCUUUUGCUGAAAGGGACCACUAGGAAGGUGGGGAGGUGACAACAGAGUACUUGGCCCCAGUAUCAACCAUAAAAGUCACUGGUUGGCCCCCCACCUUCAUUCUGACCGCAGGCUCAUGGGGGCCAAGGAGGAAAGAGCCAGGUCCCCCUUAGUCUGAGUCCAUUCCCGUAAGGCCUAUGAGGUCUACCAUAGCCUGUGGUUUCUCAGAGUAGGAUGGGGUGUUAUGUUUCCAGUCGAGGAGGUCAGAUAAUACAUCACAGAAUAGCCAGGUUGGGCCAUCCCAUCUUCAUCGUGACUCUCGGGUUUCUGCAUCUCUUGUACUGGCAUUUGGAGGAUGCUUGCGCCCAGUCUGGGGCACAGCCUGGCUGCUGGUCCUGGAGAAAGUGGAUCUUUUGGGUCUAGGAGUGCCGGUGGAUCUUCUGGGCCUGGGGGCACUGGUGAAACCGAUGGCGGCGGAGUGUCUGGAGCUGAAGGGCCAGGUGUAGAUGGUCUUGGGGGGUAUGUACAGUGGGGGCAGGGUCAGUUUGUCCUCGGGAUCUCCGGCUAGGAUUUGUGGAGACUGGCGCUUUUGCUGAUUUUCUUUAGGUCGUUUGGAUGAGGCGAUUAAGACCCUGGCCUGUCCCUAUCUAUUGCAAGCAAAUCGCACCCAGGAGGGGAGGGUCUGAGCAAUUCCUAGCCAGGAGUCAAUGUACGGAAACUGGUCAGGGUGUCCUGGUCCUCCUGUUAUGACUCACCAUACUUGAUGAAUCGUUGGGACAUCUAAUGUCCCUUCUGAAGGCCACCCGACAUCAAAGGUGGGCCAUUCCAAUUUGCAUAGGGUUCUCAACUUUCCGGGGUUCAUCCUGACUCCAUAGUCUCCUGAAAACCCCUUCUUGAAAUUUUUGAUCAUGGUCUCUAGAACCAUAGGUUUACUCUGUCCUGACCCCUGGUGAUGUCCCUGUAUGCGGUGGCACAGAGACAGACAAAGGGGGUGGUGCCUCUUGAGAUGAGGAGACCAAUCAGAUGCCCAUCUGGCCAUGUCCCAAAGGAGCUUAGGUGAGGCUUAGCCAUAGUGGUCUCAGAGUUGUGACUUAUAAUUGGAAACUAUUCUGAUGCUGCCAUAGACUGUAUGCCAUUCACCACAGAAUCGCAGAUGGACCCACUCAGACUCCAUAGGCUUCUGGGGACCUUAAGGGUGCCUCUCCGUGGAGUCACAGAAUCAGCCCACUUGAGCAAGCCAGGUCGGACUGCACAUCCACUCACACAUUCACACUCCAGAAGUUAAUACAUUCCCUCCCUGGGAAUCCCUAGCUGUGAGACGUCCAAGAGGUCUCUGGGAGGUGAUCAGGCUCCUCUUCCACCCCAGUGGAGGUGGGCCUGUCUGGGUCCUGGAGCCCCAGGCCUUGCCAGAAUCUGACAUUAGGACCAGGUCCUCACCUGUCAAGUCGCCUCGAGUCCAGUGGGAACAGCGGAGCAGGGCCGGCCUGAGGCGACAGGGGUGGGAGAGUGGCGAAAAUUAGGCAGGGUGCACCUUCUCUGUUAUGAUCUCUCGUUGUGUCACUGCCCCGCUGUUGCCCCCAAACUGGUGGCAACAAUGGGCCAGCGUGGUUGGGUUUCUCAGUCAGGGAACCAGAUGUUAGGGAACCUGGACUGGAUUGCCCGAUGGAAGAACCAGCAGCACUCGGAGAUCUUGGAGGAUAGGAGGUUUAUUUAAUGCCAGCAGGCUCAGAGGAGAGCACAAACAAAGGGGGCAAUUUAUACACUUCUACUUCUGCAUACUUGGCACUUUUGGCAUGUGCACGAAGCAGGGCAGGGAGAAGAACCCGGAUUGGUGCGCAUGGGAAGCAGAGCAGGGAGAACCCGGAAGAGCCCCAGGGCAAGGGCUGGGACUCUCGCUGGCUUGGUCGACCAUCUUAGGACACAGAUUUUCCUUAUCAGUCCCAGGAAACAUAUCUUUAAAAGAUAGAAUUCUGGUGGUUCAGUUAUAUUCUUGGCCUUAAAUACACAGCUUAACUCCUUGGCAAAAAAAAAAAAAAAAAAAAAGUUACUAAUAAUCCAUGACAUGCAUUGGUAUUAUGAUUAAGUAAAUGAUCUCUGUGGUUGAUUGUGAUGAAGUGUUUGUUGAAGCAAAUGCCUUGGAGACCAAGUAACUGUCAUAUUUUUUUAUUUUUUAUUUUAUUUUAUUUUUUGGUAGGAAUGAAAACUGCAAACACUAGAAGGUAGGGUAACUGCUUUUGAUUGCACUGGUGAGUUGACUGAGAGAAAAAUGACAAACUUCAGGCCUUUAAACUUUCAACUAAAGACACUGUUGGAUAAUCAGGUUCUGUAGCAGCCCCAAAAGAAUCUCUUAUUUUCUGUAGCCACUGAGCUGACUUUACUGCAGAUUAGUCCAUAAUUUAAUUGGGUAGGUUGCAGAAUUACCAUACCAGUUGGAUUUAUCACCUGCCAACUUCUUACUGGAAAGAUUGGGAAGGAGUGAGACCUGGAAUGGGGUAUCUGUGUGAACUCAAAGCUGAGAGUAUUGAACCCUCGAGUUUUUCUGAGACUCCCUUGCCAGCAAAAUCAGCUCCUCCUGCCUCACCUUGUCAACACCUAUCAACACCGCCUCUCAGGGCUUCUAUAACUUGAGUCAGAACAAGUACAAGGUAUGAGUCAAGAUGGUAUAGUUAUGCUCAAAAUAAUUACAAAAUUUUGUUAUUACGAAUUAGCAGAAACAUGGUGAAUUUUUUUUUUAAAGAUUUUAUUUAUUUAUUUGAGAGAGAGAGAAUGAGAGACAGAGAGCAUGAGAGGGAGGAGGGUC